UGGGCUGUAGCUCAGUGGUAGAGCAUUUGCCUCACAUGUAUAAGGCCCUGGGUUCAAUCUUCAGCACCACAU
RNAcentral lists this transfer RNA (72 nucleotides) under Marmota monax (woodchuck). It matches the Rfam family "tRNA". Rfam says of the family: Transfer RNA (tRNA) molecules are approximately 80 nucleotides in length. Their secondary structure includes four short double-helical elements and three loops (D, anti-codon, and T loops). Lineage: Eukaryota; Metazoa; Chordata; Mammalia; Rodentia; Sciuridae. The record is from Rfam by way of RNAcentral.